Molecule: long non-coding RNA, 334 nt
Organism: Engraulis encrasicolus (European anchovy)
Lineage: Eukaryota; Metazoa; Chordata; Actinopteri; Clupeiformes; Engraulidae
Exons: 3
Source: RefSeq, a predicted model, not a curated record
CAGAGACCUCCAAUAGACCCAGGUCCAGUGUCUUGGCAGGGUGAAAUGGCACUGAUAUGGUGUCCUGCAGGAUGCUGUGUCCUGCAAUCCUGUGUGCUGUGCUACAGACGCGUCUGGAAGCCAACCUGAAAUAAGCACAGUCUCUCCACAGAGGAGUGAAAGAGGCUCCCAGAAGUGAGACUGAGUGCCUGUUGCAGUAUGACGAGGACACAGUGACCAGAGACCUUCAGUAGACCCUUCUGGCAUGAUUGGCGGCUGAAGAACAUGAAAUCAACAGCAAUGUUUAUAAUGUUGUACAUACCUGUAUAGUCUGUAUUAAAAGGCAGUACCUGUA